Molecule: ribosomal RNA, 468 nt
Filed under: uncultured bacterium
Lineage: Bacteria
Description: partial 16S ribosomal RNA
Rfam family: Bacterial small subunit ribosomal RNA
Source: RNAcentral
GACGAACGCUGGCGGCGUGCUUAACACAUGCAAGUCGAACGGAAAGGCUUUGCUACCGUGUGCUGCUCGAGUGGGGAACGGGUGAGUAAGACGAGAGUAACCUGCCCUCGACGUCGGGAUAACUACAGGAAAGUGGGGCUACUACGGGAUAGGAGCUCCUGCUGCAUGGCGGGGGUUGGAAAGUUUCGGCGGUGGAGGAUGGACUCGCGGCUCAUCAGCUUGUUGGGGGGGUAGCGCCUUACCAAGGCUUUGACGGGUAGCCCGCCUGAGAGGGUGACCGGCCACCUUGCUCCUGCGGUACGGCCCAGUCUCCUACGGGCGGCAGCAGUGGGGAAUCUUGCACAAUGGGCGGACGCCUGAUGCAGCAACCCUGCGUGCGGGAUGACGGCCUUCGGGUUGUAAACCGCUUUCGCCUGUGCCGAAGCGUGAGUGACGGUAAUGGGUAAAGAAGCACCGGCUAACUACGUG